RNAcentral lists this long non-coding RNA (228 nucleotides) under Ananas comosus (pineapple). RNAcentral describes it as "long non-coding RNA (ACOM_LNC021360)". Lineage: Eukaryota; Viridiplantae; Streptophyta; Magnoliopsida; Poales; Bromeliaceae. The record is from RNAcentral.
UUCACAGAUUUUUCAUUUUGCCAAUUUCGACCCCUCAGCGAAUAUUUCGCGAUUUUUGAAGAUCCGUCCGUCGGAUUUCCGAUCAGAUCAUGACAGCGCGUUCAGCAUAACUGGGGCAACGAACUCACAAUUUCGUUUCACCCAAUAUGAUCGCUGAUUUGCGACGAAACCUAUCUACUCUCCAAUUAUCAAAAAUCCCUUUUUAUGAUAAAAUUUCUUUUUCUCAAG